Long non-coding RNA from Xenopus laevis (African clawed frog), 1448 nucleotides. RefSeq lists it as uncharacterized. The transcript is spliced from 4 exons. Lineage: Eukaryota; Metazoa; Chordata; Amphibia; Anura; Pipidae. The record is from RefSeq and is a predicted model, not a curated record.
GCAGGACAGGGAUUGGUUGGCUGAGCAGCUGCAGGACAGGGAUUGGUGGGUUGGCUGAGCAGCUGCAGGACAAAGGGGCGUGGUCAGACAGGUCGCUCACAUUGAGCAGAGAAAGAGGCACCCGGGUCCCCACAUUGGGCUGAACUCCCAGGGUGCACUGGGCUUGGGUGCCGGACGCUCAUUUGCCCCCUGUUUCCUCUGUAAGGGCAAUAAACGCGUCGUGCUGUCCCCGCGGUGCCACUAGUGAGUGACUGAAAGCAGCAAAUCCCGCCUUCCCUCUCAAUCCAAGAUCUGCGCACCACUUUUUCCCUCUCUCGCUCUCCGUACUUCUCAGUCACGUGACAGGGCCGGAAGCGGAAGUGUCUGCGGGAGGGAACUGGGAACGUGUGAGGGUGACAAUUCCGGAAAGAGUUGGGAGGGAAGAGUGUGGCGGGUGUGUGUGAGACUGGAGGCGCCUUGUUCCUUACAUUGGAGAGAAAUAUCUGGAGAUGUUGCCCAUGGCAACCAAUUAGAUUUAAACAGCCACCUAGAAGUUAGAAAACUAAAGCAAAGAUGUGAUUGGUUGUUAUGGGCAACAUCUCCAGAUAUUUCUCUCCAGUGUUAGUGACAGACUCAUUAAUAUACAAGACUCUUUGUCUCGCUGACCUCUGACCUCUCUGCCCUUGGCCCCGCCCCCAGGGAGGAGGAGUCACACAGGAUCAGUCAGAGACACAGGGGGAGGGGUGUGACCCCAUUAUUUCUCCUCUCACUUCCCUCCAAUUAUAAUGAAACUGUGUGAGUUGUGAGUUUUAUUCUAGUUCUACUACAGACUCCCCCCGGCACUUGUACAGACCCUCAGUGGGUGCAGGUGCAGUCGGGGGUCGUCGCCAUGCCCGGGAAGCAGAAAGUUAAAAUUGUGGCCGGGUGAUGGACAGAGCCAGAGAUCUAACAGACGCCUUUGAGGAGGUGGAGUUUGGCAACACUACAUUCAAAACCAACGUGUACCACAAAUCUCUGAACCCCCAGUGGAACUCCGAGUGGUUUAAAUUCGAGGUGGAUGAUGAAAAUCUCGAGGAUGAGCCCCUGCAGAUCACAGUCCUGGAUCACGACACAUAACGAGUCCAUCUGCAAAGUCUACAUUGACAUCGACCCGUUGUUCUAUACGGAAGCUGCCACCCUGAUAUCCGGCUGUUUCCCAUCUAUGACACAAUCCAUGGCAACUCACACUGGCCGGGCUGGAGCCGCGUUUAUUUAGGCAACUUUGGCCCCACCCCAGACUUGAUUUUGUCAGCGUCAUCGCGAAGGUUGAUCCCUUCAAUGACUUGAAUUGCUUCAGACAAUCUUCCUGCGGGGGUUAAGUUUUUCUGCAGUAAGUAUUAAAGGGGUUGUUCCCCUUUAAAUUAACUGUUAGUAGGAUGCAGAGAGGGAUAUUCUGAGACAAUUUGCAACUGGUUUUCAUUUUUUAUUAU